AAAGUCGUAACAAGGUCUCCGUUGGUGAACCAGCGGAGGGAUCAUUACUGAGUGUAACAACUCCCAAACCCACUGUGAACAUACCACUGUUGCUUCGGCGGACACGCCCCGGGCGCCCCCCCCUCCCCUCCCAAGGGGGGGCGGGCGGUGCCCCGGACACAGGCGCCCGCCGGGGACCCCCCCAAACCACUGUAUUUUACCCCCUCUACGGGGCGUAUCUUCUGAGUGUGAUUUCCACAAAUCAACUUUAAAACUUUCAACAACGGAUCUCUUGGCUCUG
RNAcentral lists this unclassified non-coding RNA (280 nucleotides) under Ascomycota sp. RNAcentral's name for it is "partial contains small subunit ribosomal RNA, internal transcribed spacer 1, and 5.8S ribosomal RNA". The stretch from base 1 to 47 matches the Rfam family "Eukaryotic small subunit ribosomal RNA", at positions 1785 to 1831 of the family's 1831-position model. Lineage: Eukaryota; Fungi; Ascomycota. The record is from RNAcentral.